Molecule: long non-coding RNA, 1569 nt
Organism: Gadus chalcogrammus (walleye pollock)
Lineage: Eukaryota; Metazoa; Chordata; Actinopteri; Gadiformes; Gadidae
Exons: 3
Source: RefSeq, a predicted model, not a curated record
CAUGUUCGUUGGAAAGCUAUCCUGAGCGGCUUCUAAAGAACUUAAGGUGGACACGCCAACUUGUGAUGUCACUCAAACACAGGAAGAGGCUGAUUCUGAAGCCAUUUUGCCACACAUGUCCCAGGUCCUGCCCCUCUCCUUCCACACGACCCCUCAGAGGCCUGGUUGAUGUCGUCUUUCUCUGACUUCUUUGACAUUAUGUUUCCUUUUUUGUAUGGACUUUGUAUACUCCCAGACCUUUGGAGGAUUCUUCCCUCCUACACACAGAGCGGUGUUGACUUUGCUUAUGAAUAAGUUCUGCUGUGGGCUGGAAAGGAGAAGAGGCCUUCUUAUUAUUAGGAGAAACUAGAUGUUGUAGUUUUCAAAUGCAAAAAGGGUUUGUGAAGCACUCAUAGCGAACUCAAAAAGCAGUUCUGCUUUUAACCUUAUACACAAAAGAGCAUGACCUUACUUAUUUUGCAUUUAAAUGAAUUGCCUUGAAAAUUAGCUCUUCCGUCCAAACGCAUUAAAUGCGGUCGAUGAAGGCUGGCCUCGAAGCCUCCGUAGAGGCGAUUAUCCGAUAAACCAGGAGAUAACAAAGCAACCAUGCAAAGGAUCUGUAAGGAUCGUGUCCGAUCUUCCUUCACACACUGAUGAAAGGCUGAAGAUGCUCCCCAUGCCCUACCAACGAUGGGGUUACAACGCCAGUGUGAGAGGGGAAGGCUGAGGAAUUAGAAGUGCGCUUUCUGCCCCUUAAUUAGGCUACCAUACGUUCCUCUAAAUUACUGCUUAAUAAAAGGUUUGCUGGACUUAUGUUUCAACCUUCUGCUCAUAAGCAUUUAACGAGGUCAUAAUAUUUAUAACCUCGUCGUGGCUACUUGGGCUGAUUGAUAAAACAUCAGUUUGGAUUAUGCACACUUAUCUUAAGAUGAUUUAAAUAGGCAUAAUGGAUGCAUUCAGCAUGGCUAAUAGCACAAUUAAUUAUAAUAGGAAACGCUUCAUUCCGACCCAAUCGGAAUGAAUAAUAUCGAUGGAGGCGAAUAAUCAAAUUCAUCACGCUGCAUAAGACGAGACGCAGUGAAGUUAAACACACGUUUAAACACAGCUUUAAACAUGGUUACUCCGUCGACACAAAGAAUGGAAAAGUGUUCCUCACCUAGUCUGUGUUCCAAUCCUCUUAAGUCUAGACGCGAACAGACGAGCGGUUCUCGCUGAACGAAAACCUUCCAAGUUCUCGCAUCAGGAACGGUGCGCACCGGCACGUCUGUUCACUCCAUCAGUGAUCAUGAAACCAGACAACACUUAAGCCCUGGGUAGAGAUGCUGUUUGUUCCGCCUCACUUCAGCAUCAGCAGCAUCAUCCCUGAACAGCCACCGGGAGCUGUGCGUAUACGCCAGACUAUCAACAGGUGCUGUUCUCCGUCCAGGUCCUCUGAAGGUACAGCCUACUUAUAAUACUGGUCAAUCGAGCUUCGGAAAAGCACAACUUAUGUCAAGGCAAUUACUCUGUGAUAUCUGGUGUCCCCGGUUGUCAAAGGCAUGGAUCGCUCUAUCCUAUAAAUUACCUUGUUUGGACAGGUUCCCUUUCUCC